This 483-nucleotide ribosomal RNA is filed under the name uncultured bacterium. RNAcentral describes it as "bacterial SSU rRNA". It matches the Rfam family "Bacterial small subunit ribosomal RNA", at positions 30 to 507 of the family's 1533-position model. The record is from RNAcentral.
AUUGAACGCUGGCGGCAUGCUUUACACAUGCAAGUCGAACGGUAACAGGCCGCAAGGUGCUGACGAGUGGCGAACGGGUGAGUAAUGCAUCGGAACGUGCCCAGUCGUGGGGGAUAACUACUCGAAAGAGUAGCUAAUACCGCAUACGAUCUAUGGAUGAAAGCGGGGGACCGUAAGGCCUCGCGCGAUUGGAGCGGCCGAUGUCAGAUUAGGUAGUUGGUGGGGUAAAGGCUCACCAAGCCAACGAUCUGUAGCUGGUUUGAGAGGACGACCAGCCACACUGGGACUGAGACACGGCCCAGACUCCUACGGGAGGCAGCAGUGGGGAAUAUUGCACAAUGGGCGAAAGCCUGAUGCAGCAAUGCCGCGUGUGUGAAGAAGGCCUGCGGGUUGUAAAGCACUUUCAGUAGGGAGGAAACAGUAGCCGGUUAAUAUCCGGUUGCCUUGACGUUACCUACAGAAGAAGCACCGGCUAACUCUGUG